GUGUCAGCCGCCGCGGUAAAACGUAGGUCCCGAGCGUUGUUCGGAUUCACUGGGUGUAAAGGGCGCGUAGGUGGUUGUCUGUGUCUCAUGUGAAAACUCAGGGCUCAACUCUGAGAUUGCGUGGGAAACUAGGCAGCUAGAGGACGGUAGAGGGGAGUGGAAUUCCCGGUGUAGCGGUAAAAUGCGUAGAUACCGGGAGGAACACCAGUGGCGAAGGCGGCACUCUGGUCUACCCCUGACGCUGAGGCGCGAAAGCUAGGGGAGCGAACCGGAUUAGAUACCCGGGUAGUCCUAGCCGUAAACGAUGGGUGCUAGGUGUUGGGGGGUAAAGACCCUUCAGUGCCGAAGCUAACGCGAUAAGCAUCCCACCUGGGGAGUACGGCCGCAAGGCUGAAACUCAAAUGAAUUGGCGG
This 413-nucleotide ribosomal RNA is filed under the name uncultured bacterium. RNAcentral's name for it is "bacterial SSU rRNA". It matches the Rfam family "Bacterial small subunit ribosomal RNA", at positions 505 to 916 of the family's 1533-position model. The record is from RNAcentral.